GUGUCAGCAGCCGCGGUAAUACGGAAGGGGCGAGCGUUGUUCGGAAUCACUGGGCGUAAAGCGCGCGUAGGCGGCCGAGCAAGUGCGGCGUGAAAGUCCUGGGCUCAACCUGGGGACGGCGCUGCGGACUGUUUGGCUGGAGUCCGGAAGAGGGUGGUGGAAUUCCGAGUGUAGAGGUGAAAUUCGUAGAUAUUCGGAGGAACACCGGUGGCGAAGGCGGCCACCUGGUCCGGCACUGACGCUGCAGCGCGAAAGCGUGGGGAGCAAACAGGAUUAGAUACCCUGGUAGUCCACGCCGUAAACGAUGGGUGCUAGAUGUCGGGGGGCUUGCCCUUCGGUGUCGGAGCUAACGCGUUAAGCACCCCGCCUGGGGAGUACGGCCGCAAGGUUAAA
This 393-nucleotide ribosomal RNA is filed under the name uncultured bacterium. Its description in RNAcentral is "bacterial SSU rRNA". It matches the Rfam family "Bacterial small subunit ribosomal RNA", at positions 505 to 898 of the family's 1533-position model. The record is from RNAcentral.